CCCUGCAUCUAGCCCACCUCACACCCCCGUAACAUCAUCAUAACUUUUUUUCCUCCAUAAAACAUUUUUCCUAUUCAGUAGAGGAGAUCAAAAAAUUUCUUGGAGCUAUAUCCUCAGUACCGCAAGGGAAAGAUGAAAUAAAAAUGAAAAAUACCACAAGCCCAAAAAAGUAGAGUUUAACUCUCGUACCUUUUGCAUCAUGGUUUAACUAGUCUUAUCAAGCAAAAAGAUUUUUAGUUUGAACUCCCGAAUCUAAGCGAGCUACUUUAGGACAGUUUAAUGAACGAACCCGUCUCUGUUGCAAAAGAGUGGGAAGAUCCUAAAAUAGAGGUGACAGACCUAACGAGCCUAGAGAUAGCUGGUUGCUCCAGAAAAGGAUUUUAGUCCUGCUUAAACCACAAUGAUUACUACAAAAAUCUGUUUAAAGUUAUUCAAAUAAGGUACAGCCUAUUUGAACAAGGAUACAACCUUAAUUACUGGGCCUCAUACUUUUCUAAUAACAAAGUAGGCCUGAAAGCAGCCAUCUUUAACAAAAGCGUCAAAGCUUAUUUAUUAAUCUAGUCAAUUCCAAUAUCUUUAAUUACCCCUUACCUCCCUAUAGAGCAACUCUAUAUUUAUAUAGAAAAUUUUAUGUUAAAACGAGUAAUAAGAAGCUAAUCCUUCUCUUUAAACGCAAGUUUACAUCAGCCCGGAUUCUCCACUGAUAAUUAACGCCCAUAACAACGAAGAAGAAACAAAACAAGAAAAAUCUUCUAUCAAAAACGUUAACCUAACACCAGAGCGUUUCAAGAAAGAUUUAAAGAAAAAGAAGGAACUCGGCAAACAUUAGUCCCGCCUGUUUACCAAAAACAUCGCCUCUUGUAAAAUCAAUAAGAGGUCCAGCCUGCCCAGUGACUCUGUUCAACGGCCGCGGUAUCCUAACCGUGCGAAGGUAGCGUAAUCACUUGUUCUUUAAUUGAGGACUUGUAUGAAUGGCCCCACGAGGACUACACUGUCUCCUUUUUCUAAUCAAUGAAACUAAUCUCCCCGUGAAGAAACGGGGAUAAACCUAUAAGACGAGAAGACCCUAUGGAGCUUUAAACAACAAGAGUAUCUGCUUUACCUUAAUUCCACUUUCUGAAACCUAAAUUAAUUCAAGCAUCUUACCUCCCAGUUUUAGGUUGGGGUGACCACGGAGAAUAAACCAACCUCCAUGUUGAAAUGAAGCUUAAUCCCUCUAAGCAAAAAGCUACAACUUUAUGCAUCAACAUAUUGACUUCCAUUGACCCAAUAAUUUGACCAACGAACCAAGUUACCCUAGGGAUAACAGCGCAAUCUACCUCGAGAGCUCAUAUCGACAGGUAGGUUUACGACCUCGAUGUUGGAUCAGGGUGUCCUAGUGGUGCAGCCGCUACUAACGGUUCGUUUGUUCAACGAUUAAAACCCU
This 1426-nucleotide ribosomal RNA is filed under the name Excidobates mysteriosus (maranon poison frog). RNAcentral's name for it is "partial 16S ribosomal RNA". It matches the Rfam family "Bacterial large subunit ribosomal RNA", at positions 432 to 2597 of the family's 2925-position model. Lineage: Eukaryota; Metazoa; Chordata; Amphibia; Anura; Dendrobatidae. The record is from RNAcentral.